GACACCUUGGCUAGAAAGCUAACAACUGAAGCAAAAUGCUUCUAACUAGAUAAACAAAACUAAUGGUGUCAGAGCUCAGAAUAUAGAAGAUUCGGAUGCUGGGUUUAUUUUUCAUUUUUUCUAUUCUUUUUGUUACCUGAGAAUACGCACAGCUUACGUGUACAAUAGUAAACAUCUUGGUUAAAUACUGGUUAAUUCUGUAGCAACACGCAAACUUGCUUGACAAAGCUCUAAUCAUGUUCUCUACAGAGAACAAAAAUAUUUUGCUUUCACUUCUCAGGCUCUACCUGAGAGUUGAGAAGGAGGCUUGGAGCAGUCAUUUUAAGCUUGUUGAAGCCUCUCAGGGUCAGGCGUCUUCCCGCAAGCUCUAAAGAUCUGUGCCUAGAGUUACAUACUCCCUCCUGGACUAGGAUCAUAAAAGAG
Long non-coding RNA from Oxyura jamaicensis (ruddy duck), 423 nucleotides. RefSeq lists it as uncharacterized. The transcript is spliced from 2 exons. The record is from RefSeq and is a predicted model, not a curated record. NCBI's taxonomy places the organism in Eukaryota, Metazoa, Chordata, Aves, Anseriformes, Anatidae.